RNAcentral lists this ribosomal RNA (450 nucleotides) under uncultured bacterium. Its description in RNAcentral is "bacterial SSU rRNA". It matches the Rfam family "Bacterial small subunit ribosomal RNA", at positions 354 to 796 of the family's 1533-position model. The record is from RNAcentral.
GUAGGGAAUCUUCCACAAUGGACGAAAGUCUGAUGGAGCAACGCCGCGUGAACGAUGAAGGCCUUCGGGUCGUAAAGUUCUGUUGUAAGGGAAGAACAAGUGCCGCAGGCAAUGGCGGCACCUUGACGGUACCUUGCGAGAAAGCCACGGCUAACUACGUGCCAGCAGCCGCGGUAAUACGUAGGUGGCAAGCGUUGUCCGGAAUUAUUGGGCGUAAAGCGCGCGCAGGCGGCCUCUUAAGUCUGAUGUGAAAGCCCCCGGCUCAACCGGGGAGGGCCAUUGGAAACUGGGAGGCUUGAGUAUAGGAGAGAAGAGUGGAAUUCCACGUGUAGCGGUGAAAUGCGUAGAGAUGUGGAGGAACACCAGUGGCGAAGGCGACUCUUUGGCCUAUAACUGACGCUGAGGCGCGAAAGCGUGGGGAGCAAACAGGAUUAGAAACCCCAGUAGUCC